Long non-coding RNA from Homo sapiens (human), 531 nucleotides. NCBI's taxonomy places the organism in Eukaryota, Metazoa, Chordata, Mammalia, Primates, Hominidae. The record is from Ensembl.
GCUUUUGGCGCGGCCUUUGUCUCUAGCUGCAGCCGGCGUUUCAGGUCUCGUCUUCACUGGUCUGUGUCCUAUUCUCCUGGAGGCCCAGCCUCUGUGGCCCUGUGACCUGCAGGUAUUGGGAGAUCCACAGCUAAAACCCCAGGACACCCUGGAAGCAUAGAAAUGGGACCAUUGCAGUUUAGAGACGUGGCCAUAGAAUUCUCUCUGGAGGAGUGGCAUUGCCUGGACACUGCACAGCGGAAUUUAUAUAGGGAUGUGAAGUUUCAGAACUACAGAAACUUGGUCUUCCUUUAGAUUAUAUUUUCUUCCAUCUUCCGCAUCCUCCUGUUCUUCAGCCAAUAAAUGAAAAAAGAUACAGAGAAGACACAUUUGCUUUUUAUCCACUGCACUUCCACUCACUAUUAGUCAAUGUGGUUACAGCUGAGAAUAGCAGUUUUCUGGCAGGGCAGCCACUUCUCAGCAAUAAACAGCACACUGAAAAAAAAGGAUAAAUCCUUCAUAAAAAGCUAAUGAACUUUUUUUUUCCUGGAA